RNAcentral lists this transfer RNA (50 nucleotides) under Arabidopsis thaliana (thale cress). RNAcentral's name for it is "partial tRNA-Leu". The record is from RNAcentral. Lineage: Eukaryota; Viridiplantae; Streptophyta; Magnoliopsida; Brassicales; Brassicaceae.
UUGCUUUUAAAAUCGUGAGGGUUCAAAGUCCCUCUAUCCCCAGCUCUACU